AGUGAACGCUGGCGGUAGGCCUAACACAUGCAAGUCGAACGGCAGCACAGUAAGAGCUUGCUCUUACGGGUUGCGAGUGGCGGACGGGUGAGGAAUACAUCGGAAUCUACUUUUUCGUGUGGCAUAACGUAGGGAAACUUACUCUAAUUCCGCAUACGACCUACGGGUGAAAGCAUUGGAUCUUCUGACCUUGCGCGAUUGAAUGCGCCGAUGUCGGGUUAGCUAGUUGGCUGGGUAAAGGCCCACCAAGGCGAGGAUCCGUAGCUUGUCUGAGAGGAUGGUCAGCCACACUGGAGCGGAGACAGGGUCAAGAGUCCUAAGGGAGGGAGCAGUGGGGAAUGGUGGACAAUGGGGGCAAGCAUUAUACAGUGAGACCGCGUGUGUGAAGAAGGCGCUCGGGUUGUAAAGCCCUUUUGUUGGGAGAGAACAGCAGUAGGUUAAUACCAAGCUGUUGUGACGGUAAUGAAAGAAUAAGCACCGGCUAACUUCGUG
RNAcentral lists this ribosomal RNA (492 nucleotides) under uncultured bacterium. RNAcentral's name for it is "partial 16S ribosomal RNA". It matches the Rfam family "Bacterial small subunit ribosomal RNA", at positions 29 to 507 of the family's 1533-position model. The record is from RNAcentral.